UACGUAGGUGGCAAGCGUUGUCCGGAAUUACUGGGUGUAAAGGGCGUGUAGGCGGCUGAUUAAGUCAGUUGUAAAAGGCUGCGGCUUAACCGCAGAAGUGCAAUUGAAACUGGUCAGCUUGAGGGCAAGAGAGGAAAGCGGAAUUCCUAGUGUAGCGGUGAAAUGCGUAGAUAUUAGGAGGAACACCAGUUGCGAAGGCGGCUCUCUGGACUGUAACUGACACUGAGGCACGAAAGCGUGGGGAGCAAACAGGAUUAGAUACCCG
This 265-nucleotide ribosomal RNA is filed under the name uncultured prokaryote. Its description in RNAcentral is "partial 16S ribosomal RNA". It matches the Rfam family "Bacterial small subunit ribosomal RNA", at positions 524 to 788 of the family's 1533-position model. The record is from RNAcentral.